Molecule: non-coding RNA, 803 nt
Organism: Macaca mulatta (Rhesus monkey)
Lineage: Eukaryota; Metazoa; Chordata; Mammalia; Primates; Cercopithecidae
Source: RefSeq, a predicted model, not a curated record
CACGGGAGUGGGGUCUUGGGGACCCUCAGCCCUCCUUGAGAAUCCUGAGCGUGAUGUCUGGCAGAGCCUGGAUGCUGCCCUCUCCUAAGCAGCCCUUCCCUGGUCACAUGAGCUCUGACUCCAGAGUCCCCAGUGGCUUAAGCAGCAGGGGGCUGGGGGUGGCGCAGCCUAAGAAGUCCACCACCAGGUGGUCCAGGGCUGGCAGGAGGGGCGGCGCUGGAUUAUUUGGGGCCCUCUAUCUGGGGUAAGUGGGUCCUCAGUCCUCCCUCAGCGUGUCACCUUGCCUUCUUACAGAGCCUGAGCCCGCUUCCCUCCACCGAUCUCAAGCCACCCCUGAGACCGAGAACCUCGCUUCUCUCUAACCACUAAUGUCCAAGUCAGUGGCGUCACAUCCGGGCACCUGGGCUUCCCUGGGUUGAGAGCAGGGGCAGAACUGGAUUCUGCCUGGAUUGGGAUGGGGGGUUGAUCUGAGAAACAGAGAACAGCAGCCCAAGUUUAAUUGCAAUGUUGGCAGCUACAGAGCACUUCAAACGCCUUGAACAAUAGAAUAAUAUAAUGAACCCAGAACAUCUGACACUCAGCAUCAACCACCUUCAAGACAUGGCACAUCUGGUUCCAGUUCGACGCUCACCUACUUGCAUCUCAGCUGCUGGAAUAAUGUGGAGCAAAUCUAAGACGUCAUUCCAUUUCAUCUCUAAAUACCUCAAUAUGUUUUCCUAAAAGUUAAGGACUUUAUAUUAGCCAAAAUCCCAAUACAGUUUUUAUUUCUAAAAAACUUAAAUAAAUGAUUAUCAAAAGUUCAA